GAUGAACGCUGGCGGCGUGCCUAAUACAUGCAAGUCGAGCGAACAGACGAGGAGCUUGCUUCUCUGACGUUAGCGGCGGACGGGUGAGUAACACGUGGAUAACCUACCUAUAAGACUGGGAUAACUUCGGGAAACCGGAGCUAAUACCGGAUAAUAUUUUGAACCGCAUGGUUCAAAAGUGAAGGACGGUCUUGCUGUCACUUAUAGAUGGAUCCGCGCUGCAUUAGCUAGUUGGUAAGGUAACGGCUUACCAAGGCAACGAUGCGUAGCCGACCUGAGAGGGUGAUCGGCCACACUGGAACUGAGACACGGUCCAGACUCCUACGGGAGGCAGCAGUAGGGAAUCUUCCGCAAUGGGCGAAAGCCUGACGGAGCAACGCCGCGUGAGUGAUGAAGGUCUUCGGAUCGUAAAACUCUGUUAUUAGGGAAGAACAAAUGUGUAAGUAACUAUGCACGUCUUGACGGUACCUAAUCAGAAAGCCACGGCUAACUACGUG
RNAcentral lists this ribosomal RNA (497 nucleotides) under uncultured bacterium. RNAcentral describes it as "partial 16S ribosomal RNA". It matches the Rfam family "Bacterial small subunit ribosomal RNA", at positions 28 to 507 of the family's 1533-position model. The record is from RNAcentral.